AAGGCUUUAAGUUAAUUCAAACUAAUAACCUUCAAAGCUAUAAAUAAAGACCUCUUUAAGCCUUA
Molecule: transfer RNA, 65 nt
Filed under: Eupolyphaga hanae
Lineage: Eukaryota; Metazoa; Arthropoda; Insecta; Blattodea; Corydiidae
Description: tRNA-Trp
Source: RNAcentral